CAGAAAGGUUCCUAAGAAUUUGCUCGAGUCAUACGUUGUUGCCUAGACUUAUCCUCUCAUCAACCACUGCAUUGCUCUCACAAUCUCCUCCACCCAAUUCAUAAUCCAAUUACCUUUUGUUUUCAUUCUUGAUCCCAAAAAGAGCACACCCUUUUCUCCUCUCUCACUCACUUGAACAAAAAAACCACUAAAGCACUGGCCUUUCUUUUCCCUCUCCCAUUUCUUGUUCUUCUUUUUCUUCAUCAAUCAUCACAACCAUGGCCGCUGCAGUAACUGCUGCAGUCUCCUUCCCAUCAUCUAAGUCCACUUCUCUUCCCACAAGAAUCUCCGUCAUCUCACCCGAGAGAAUCACCUUCAAGAAGUUCAAUACUGUUCACUACAGAUACAGAGAUGGCUCUGCUGGUGGGAGAGUGGGUUCGAUUGUUAGAGCCCAGGUCACUACUGAGGCUCCUGCUAAGGUUGAGAAGGAGUCCAAGAAGAUGGAGGAAGGUGUGAUAGUUAACAAGUUCAAGCCCAAGAAUCCUUACAUUGGUAGAUGCCUUUUGAAUACCAAGAUCACAGGUGAUGAUGCUCCUGGAGAAACUUGGCACAUGGUCUUCAGCACUGAAGGGGAGGUUCCUUACAGAGAAGGGCAAUCUAUUGGAGUCAUUCCAGAUGGUAUUGACAAGAAUGGCAAGCCUCACAAGCUGAGAUUGUACUCUAUUGCCAGCAGUGCCAUUGGUGAUUUCGGCGACUCCAAAACUGUUUCCCUCUGCGUGAAACGCCUUGUAUACACCAAUGACAAAGGAGAAGUUGUCAAAGGAGUCUGCUCAAAUUUCUUAUGUGACUUGAAACCUGGUGCUGAUGUGACGAUUACAGGACCAGUUGGCAAGGAAAUGCUUAUGCCAAAAGAUCCCAAUGCCACUGUCGUCAUGCUUGCUACUGGAACUGGUAUCGCUCCUUUCCGCUCAUUCUUGUGGAAAAUGUUCUUCGAGAAGCACGAAGAUUACAAGUUCAAUGGUUUGGCCUGGCUCUUCUUGGGAGUUCCCACAAGUAGUUCAUUGCUCUACAAGGAGGAGUUUGAGAAAAUGAAGGAGAAGGCUCCUGACAACUUCAGGCUUGAUUUUGCUGUAAGCAGAGAGCAAACAAACGAAAAGGGAGAGAAGAUGUACAUUCAAACCCGAAUGGCUCAAUAUGCUGAAGAGCUAUGGGAGUUACUCAAGAAAGAUAACACCUUUGUCUAUAUGUGUGGGCUCAAAGGAAUGGAGCAAGGAAUUGAUGAGAUAAUGGAAUCAUUGGCCGAAAGGGAUGGCAUCACUUGGGUGGAUUACAAAAGGCAAUUGAAGAAGGCUGGGCAAUGGAACGUGGAAGUCUACUAAUGCUUUGAUUACAUUGUACAAAAAUAUCACCCUCUUCCACUCCCAUUGUGUAGAUAGGAUAUGAAGGAGCUUUCUCCUCAACCAGUAGAACCCGCCUGGCUUUGAGCUCUUUCUCUCCCCGUAAGUGCUGAAACCGAAUACCAGAUGGGGGGACCAAGACCAACCCUACCAGAGAGAGAUUCCGCAUCAAGAUCUGAUUUUGUUUAGGAGGAAUGCUCUGCAUCAAGAAGUAGACCUUGGCAUUCAUCUCAUUCUCUUAGUCGAUGGAACCCUGUAGCUUCAAAAUUUCAAAUGCUAUGUAUUUAUGGUCAUGAAACUUAUGCUUGAAUUCAGAAAACGCAACAAAAACACACAAUUACUCGAUCA
RNA transcript from Tripterygium wilfordii, 1724 nucleotides. It is a transcript of the gene named ferredoxin--NADP reductase, leaf isozyme, chloroplastic-like, with no coding region annotated. Lineage: Eukaryota; Viridiplantae; Streptophyta; Magnoliopsida; Celastrales; Celastraceae. The transcript has 10 exons. The record is from RefSeq and is a predicted model, not a curated record.